This is a long non-coding RNA of Myotis davidii, 625 nucleotides long. RefSeq lists it as uncharacterized. The record is from RefSeq and is a predicted model, not a curated record. Lineage: Eukaryota; Metazoa; Chordata; Mammalia; Chiroptera; Vespertilionidae. The transcript is spliced from 2 exons.
CUAAGACUACCUCACAUCCGGUGACUCACUAGAAGGAGUGAUUGAGCAUAUAUUUGUGUUAGAGUAAGUAGAUAGAUAUGAGCAGAGGAGAUAAAAGACAAACUGACCAAAAAAAACAAAACAAAACCCAUGGUCAAGUAAACAAGGGAAAGGGAGAAUAGAAAACUAAAACAGCCAUCAAAAUUAGACGAAGACAGGGAAAAGAAAUGCAGUAAAAAUGACUCCUAGCACCAAAAGGACAUCUGCAGACACACGACAUUCUAAGAAGCCCACCAGUUAAGCAGACCCACGAAAUUCUAGGGAGCCUACCAGCUAAAGGACGAAUGGUGCAGGGAGAUUAGCAUGAAGCGUGGGAGGGGCAAGAAUAAAACAAAGGCCAGGAUUUAGACCCCCGGAUGUACUUGAAUACAGCUUUGACGCUCUCUGCAAUUUCCCCGUCUGUCGCGUUGAAAUCCUUCCUCCUGGAGAGGAGAACCUGGUCUUGCUGAUCCCCAGCGCCGCUGACAGUUCUAACCGCCAGCCCGGAGCCGGUUCAAGAAAGCCCCCAAAUGGUUACAACUAGUGCACCUGUAAAAGAUGCUUCGCCAGGGCUUUCAACCCGCCCCCCGGCCCCCCAUACACAUAC